RNAcentral lists this unclassified non-coding RNA (221 nucleotides) under Hevea brasiliensis (rubber tree). The record is from RNAcentral. Lineage: Eukaryota; Viridiplantae; Streptophyta; Magnoliopsida; Malpighiales; Euphorbiaceae.
GUUAAAACUAAAAAGAGUAAAAAAGGAAAAAAGAAAAAGAAAGUUAUUGGUUGCUAGCAGUUACAGGCCGCUGGCUGGUCGUUCUUUGGUGGUUGAAAUGCUACGUGCUUUACACCUCCAAGAAAUUGGAGCCAAAUCCUUUGUAUUUCCUCUCCAAUUCCCUCUUCAUUAGCUAAAUCUUACACCCAUUCACUGAGUCCACCCGCUCAUGUUGUAGCGGG